GCUGACUUAUAAUUCAUGAAACACAGCUUCAGCUUCCGCCAAUCAGAUAGCUUUCUUCAACUAGUCUAACUGGCUUGAAGGAACUAAAAGGGCAGCACUAGAACAACAAAGAUAUCCUAUACGUCCUUAAUCUGCUUAUCUGUAACCUCUUACUGCCAGGUAGCUAGACAAAGCUCCAAGUAUUAUUUGCCGAGAGGAAGAACAGGUGAUUCAUAAAAAGGUGGCU
Molecule: non-coding RNA, 226 nt
Organism: Pelobates cultripes (western spadefoot toad)
Lineage: Eukaryota; Metazoa; Chordata; Amphibia; Anura; Pelobatidae
Source: the annotation of a GenBank genome assembly